RNAcentral lists this long non-coding RNA (440 nucleotides) under Gallus gallus (chicken). RNAcentral's name for it is "lncRNA (ENSGALG00010027551.1)". The record is from RNAcentral. Lineage: Eukaryota; Metazoa; Chordata; Aves; Galliformes; Phasianidae.
GAAUAACUUCUGUUGCCAGCUCAUGUGUGCAGAGUGGCUCUAUGUCAAAGUCCACACUUUCCACACUCUGGGGGAGUAUCUCCCAGGGCAGAACUUAAACAGCAGCUACUAGUAUGGCAGCACGAGGUAUCUGACACUGGUCCUAGAGCUGCAUAUCCAUGAACAUCCUCAGCAUGCACUGGAUGUUCCAAAUUAUCUUCCACCUCUGCCAACACCAGAUGAACUGAAUUGCUCACAGAUUGGAACUGCUGACAUAAACCGUCAAUGUGAAUUCAACCACUGCACUUCAAUCAACUUCAGCAUGAGCCUGAUUAACUCAGAGCAUUGGCGGUCUGCACUAAACAACCCAUCAUCUGGCAGUCACUCACAGGUCGUCAACCACCAGAGCCACAUCCAGCCUGGCCUUGAAUGUCUCCAGCUAUGGGGCAUCCACAACCUCC